CAGAAGAUGACAUGUACAGAACCGACUC
This 28-nucleotide non-coding RNA is filed under the name Homo sapiens (human). The record is from RNAcentral. Lineage: Eukaryota; Metazoa; Chordata; Mammalia; Primates; Hominidae.